Molecule: ribosomal RNA, 195 nt
Filed under: uncultured bacterium
Lineage: Bacteria
Description: partial 16S ribosomal RNA
Rfam family: Bacterial small subunit ribosomal RNA
Source: RNAcentral
ACGCUCGACACCUACGGCAGCAGUUGGGAAUAUUGGACAAUGGAGGAAACUCUGAUCCAGUGACGCCGCGUGAAGGAAGAAGGUCUUCGGAUUGUAAACUUAUUUUGUCAGGGAAGAAAAAUGACUGUACCUGAAGAAAAAGCACCGGCUAACUACGUGCCAGCAGCAGCGGUAAUCUGAGCGGGCUGGCAAGGC